This 319-nucleotide ribosomal RNA is filed under the name uncultured eukaryote. RNAcentral describes it as "partial 18S ribosomal RNA". It matches the Rfam family "Eukaryotic small subunit ribosomal RNA", at positions 1470 to 1796 of the family's 1831-position model. The record is from RNAcentral.
CCCUCAGAUGUUCUGGGCAGCACGCGCGCUACAAUGGUCUUCGCAAACGGAUGCAUUCUCGAAGGAGAAUGCCAAUCUUGGAAUCUAUGCCUUGGUCGGGACAGUUGCUUGCAAUUUUUCGACUCGAACCAGGAAUUCCUUGUAAUCGUGAUUCAUCACAUCACGAUGAAUACGUCCCUGCCCUUUGUACACACCGCCCGUCGCUCCUACCGAUCGAAGAGUUAGGUGAAUUGUUUUGAUCGAUAAGAUUUGACUAUGGUCAACUCUCGUUGUGAAAUUCUGUGAAUCUGACUGUUUAGAGGAAGGAAAAGUCGUAACA